Molecule: ribosomal RNA, 650 nt
Filed under: Secundilactobacillus mixtipabuli
Lineage: Bacteria; Bacillati; Bacillota; Bacilli; Lactobacillales; Lactobacillaceae
Description: bacterial SSU rRNA
Rfam family: Bacterial small subunit ribosomal RNA
Source: RNAcentral
UGUUCAGGUGUUGACGGUAUUUAACCAGAAAGCCACGGCUAACUACGUGCCAGCAGCCGCGGUAAUACGUAGGUGGCAAGCGUUGUCCGGAUUUAUUGGGCGUAAAGCGAGCGCAGGCGGUUUCUUAAGUCUGAUGUGAAAGCCUUCGGCUUAACCGGAGAAGUGCAUCGGAAACUGGGAGACUUGAGUGCAGAAGAGGACAGUGGAACUCCAUGUGUAGCGGUGAAAUGCGUAGAUAUAUGGAAGAACACCAGUGGCGAAGGCGGCUGUCUGGUCUGUAACUGACGCUGAGGCUCGAAAGCAUGGGUAGCGAACAGGAUUAGAUACCCUGGUAGUCCAUGCCGUAAACGAUGAAUACUAGGUGUUGGAGGGUUUCCGCCCUUCAGUGCCGCAGCUAACGCAUUAAGUAUUCCGCCUGGGGAGUACGACCGCAAGGUUGAAACUCAAAGGAAUUGACGGGGGCCCGCACAAGCGGUGGAGCAUGUGGUUUAAUUCGAAGCUACGCGAAGAACCUUACCAGGUCUUGACAUACUGUGCUAACCUAAGAGAUUAGGCGUUCCUUUCGGGGACGCAAAUACAGGUGGUGCAUGGCUGUCGUCAGCUCCUGUCGUGAGAUGUUGGGUUAAGUCCCGCAACGAAGCCCAACCCUU